Molecule: ribosomal RNA, 306 nt
Filed under: Triticum aestivum (bread wheat)
Lineage: Eukaryota; Viridiplantae; Streptophyta; Magnoliopsida; Poales; Poaceae
Description: partial small subunit ribosomal RNA
Source: RNAcentral
AUGUCAAUGAUAGAUACAACACCUCCGACAGUCUACAUCGCUGAAAAUGGGAUGGAUUACAGUGAUCUCACGAGGUUAGUCAUAAAGAGUUACGUCGAUGACACAAAAAGGAUCAACUACCACAAUGACUACCUCACAAAUGUAGCUGAUUCCAUAAUGACGGACGGCUGUGAUGUUCGUGGGUAUUUUGUGUGGUCUCUCCUCGACAAUUGGGAGUGGACCGCUGGAUACACCUCAAGAUUCGGGUUGUACUUCGUACACUACAAGGAUAACCUCAAGAGAUACCCCAAGAACUAUGUCCAGUGA